Molecule: ribosomal RNA, 274 nt
Filed under: uncultured bacterium
Lineage: Bacteria
Description: partial 16S ribosomal RNA
Rfam family: Bacterial small subunit ribosomal RNA
Source: RNAcentral
AUACGGGGGGUGCAAGCGUUAAUCGGAAUUACUGGGCGUAAAGCGCGCGUAGGCGGUUAGUGAAGUUGGAUGUGAAAGCCCUGGGCUCAACCUGGGAACUGCAUUCAAAACUAGCUAACUAGAGUAUGGUAGAGGGUAGUGGAAUUUCUAGUGUAGCGGUGAAAUGCGUAGAUAUUAGAAGGAACACCAGUGGCGAAGGCGGCUACCUGGACCAAUACUGACGCUGAGGUGCGAAAGCGUGGGGAGCAAACAGGAUUAGAAACCCCGGUAGUCC